This 208-nucleotide ribosomal RNA is filed under the name uncultured bacterium. Its description in RNAcentral is "partial 16S ribosomal RNA". It matches the Rfam family "Bacterial small subunit ribosomal RNA", at positions 568 to 774 of the family's 1533-position model. The record is from RNAcentral.
CGCGUAGGCGGUCGCGUAAGUCGGGUGUGAAAUUCCGGGGCUCAACCCCGUGGACUGCACCCGAUACUGCGUGACUAGAGAGAGGUAGGGGCAAGUGGAAUUCCCGGUGUAGCGGUGGAAUGCGUAGAUAUCGGGAAGAACACCCGUGGCGAAGGCGGCUUGCUGGACCUUUUCUGACGCUGAAGCGCGAAAGCGUGGGGAGCAAACA